This 23-nucleotide non-coding RNA is filed under the name Cricetulus griseus (Chinese hamster). Lineage: Eukaryota; Metazoa; Chordata; Mammalia; Rodentia; Cricetidae. The record is from RNAcentral.
CAGCUGUAUGGGCACCAAGAAGA